Long non-coding RNA from Papaver somniferum (opium poppy), 2002 nucleotides. RefSeq lists it as uncharacterized. The record is from RefSeq and is a predicted model, not a curated record. NCBI's taxonomy places the organism in Eukaryota, Viridiplantae, Streptophyta, Magnoliopsida, Ranunculales, Papaveraceae. The transcript has 11 exons.
UCCUAUCACUUUCUCUCCUGUUUUAUUUCUUCUUUCUCUAUCUGUUCUCCUGCUAAACCUAAUUCUGUUGAAGUCAAACGAAAUCUACAAAAAAUUCAGAAGCUAUCUUCCCUGAACUCUUAUUUCAUAAUCAAAACCCAUCAUUUAGAAAUACGCUUAUCUCACUCACAAAGACUCUCCUUUGUCUAAGAAGAAGACGCUCUUCGAUUCGCCUGAGUUUUUGAUUUUGGAGUGAUGGAGCAGCAGCAUAAUAAGAACAUGGUUGAAGAAAACAUCCGAGAAGAAGAAAUUCUCCAUGGCCCCUUUUUCGGUUUAACAACUUCGGGCGGCUGGGGUAGCCUCAGUUGAUGUAAAGAAGCUUAAAGAUGCUGGUCUAUGCACUGUUGAAGCUGUUGCAUACUCUUCUCGGAAAGAAUUACUUCUAAUCAAAGGAAUUAGUGAGAUCAUUAAAUUAAGCAGCGACGAAGCUGGUUCCAUUGGGUUUUACUAGUGCUAGUCAACUUCAUGCACAAAGGCAAGAAAUCAUUCAGAUAACAUCAGGAUCAAGAGAAUUUGACAAGGUCUUAGAAGGAAGGACUGAGACUUGGGCUAUUACUCAAUUGUAUGGUGAAUUUCUCAAAAUCAUGAUUUUUAUUAUGUCCAGUGCGCACUCCUCGAACUGAUGUAAAGGAGUUCUUCCGGCAAGCCAGGAGUACGUCUUUCUACAAGCAGUUCGGCGCAUUUCUUGUUAACAUCGAGGAGCUGAAUUCUCAAAAUCGAACUCGAGAGUUUCGUCAGUCUUAUGAUAGCUGCAUUGGAGGAGAUGGCUUUGAAACGCUUACAGCAGUCUUUGCCUGCUCUCCCAGUGAUCCCAUAUGUCCUUUUUCCUCCAGUGUUUGGUGGAUUGAGAUAAUGCAGCUUGCAUUUGGUUUCAUCCAACAUAUAAAUAAGGGAAUACACACCCUCAAUUCAUCACUGGGAAGUUUCUCGUUUGUUGUUUUGCAGUUUGCAGUCGUCUUUAUGAACUUCAAAACUUAGAUCUAAGUGACAUCCUAUCGGCAGAAUUUGGAGUAGCUCUUGCAGUGUGAGUGCACAAGAUUCUUCAGUAAACAAGACCUCGAGUAGGCACGCAAACGCAAGUGCAUAUGUCCUCCGAGUUGGAGGCUGCCCUUUCUGCUAUUUUAUGCUAACGUGUCUACGUGUUCUGACUUCUGAUCACCAUGAAGUAAAGCCUGCAUACUGUGAAUAAGUCAGAUAGUUGUUGAAUUUUAAGUUGCAAGGGUGCAAGAUGAAUCUAAAGUGAUGACUGCAGAGAGUGGAACAUCACUUGGGAUGGCCUGAGGUCAUAGAGCAAAAGCCUUACGAUCACAAGGCGAACAUUUUCAGUUUCAUAAUUGUGUUGUAGGAGAUGCUAACUAGAAAGGCAGCUUCUUUACGACUUGUCAUACUUAUCAUGCCCACGGUUUUCACUGCCUAUAUAUGGUUUAUUUGUUCGUCUGAGUGAAGUCACUGUGUAAAUGUUGUUGUUGUUGUCUUGAUGAUGGGUCUAUUAGACCACCUCCGUGUAUAUUAUUAUCCACUAGUCAUGUAAACCUAGCAUAUAAGGCUUGACUUUUUACUCUUCUUCUGAAUGUAGUUCGAUACCUUCAUGGAUGCCGUCACUCUCUUCCCGAUGGUCUCAUGAGGGUUGCUGAUGUCAUGGUUGAUGGUGAGAUCGUUGUUGCUGCUGGAUAAGGAAAUGUUGGAAAGGGUUGUGCUUCUAAAAGAUCUUCUCUCAAGCAAGCUGGUGCCAAGGUCCUAAUGACUGAAAUUGUGGUUGAAAUUUUUAGGCCUUGUUGUAUCACUUCUCUUUAAGAAACCUUAAUAAUAGGGAAUUGAAUCCUUUUUUCUUAAUGAAUUGGACUAAAUUUAUGAGCACAGUUCAAUGUAAUGGAGCUGUCAUUUGGUAUUAGAUGAUUCAGGUUUUAUUUGGAAUUUGAAUUUUAGUAUUUUAAUGUUAUUUUUCAUUUGAAUUUUGCUUGAA